CCCUCGGCAUAUUGCUCAGUAACACGCGGAUAACUUGCCCUUGGGACUGGAACACCCCCGGGAAACUGGGGCUAAUUCUUGAUAGGUGAAGAACUCUGGAAUGAGUCUUCGCCAAAAAGACGCUUACGUUAUGCUCGUAGGCGUCGCCCAAGGAUGAGGCCGCGACCGAUCAGGUUGUUGGUGAGGUAAUGGCUCACCAAGCCUUUUACCGGUGCGGGCCGUGAGAGCGGGAGCCCGGAGAUGGGCACUGAGACAAGGGCCCAGGCCCUACGGGGCGCAGCAGUCGCGAAAACUUUGCAAUAAGCGAAAGCUUGACAGGGCUAUCCCGAGUGCCAUCCGCUGAGGAAGGCUUUUACCCAGUCUAGAACGCUGGGGGAAUAAGGAGAGGGCAAGUCUGGUGUCAGCCGCCGCGGUAAUACCAGCUCUCCGAGUGGUGUGGAUGUUUAUUGGGCCUAAAGCAUCCGUAGCUGGCUAAGUUAGUCCCUUGUUAAAUCCACCGAAUUAAUCGUUGGAUUGCGGGGGAUACUGCUUGGCUAGGGGACGAGAGAGGCAGACGGUAUUUCCGGGGUAGGGGUGAAAUCCUAUAAUCCCGGGAAGACCACCAGUGGCGAAGGCUGUCUGCUAGAACGCGCCCGACGGUGAGGGAUGAAAGCUGGGGGAGCGAACCGGAUUAGAUACCCGGGUAGUCCCAGCUGUAAACGAUGCAGGCUAGGUGUUUGGACGGCCACGUGCCGUUCUAGU
This 741-nucleotide ribosomal RNA is filed under the name uncultured archaeon. Its description in RNAcentral is "bacterial SSU rRNA". It matches the Rfam family "Archaeal small subunit ribosomal RNA", at positions 75 to 799 of the family's 1478-position model. The record is from RNAcentral.